This is a long non-coding RNA of Trachymyrmex cornetzi, 1181 nucleotides long. RefSeq lists it as uncharacterized. The record is from RefSeq and is a predicted model, not a curated record. The transcript is spliced from 3 exons. NCBI's taxonomy places the organism in Eukaryota, Metazoa, Arthropoda, Insecta, Hymenoptera, Formicidae.
UAAAACUCGAUGCUCACAUGGCUUGUUUGACAAACGCAAGAUGGAAAAUCACAAUCGUUAAUUACAAUUAAAUCUUCCGUAAAUCCCGCGGAAGCUAUAAAACAUUAAUGAAACACAAGUAUCCGGAUUGUAGGAUGUAACGCCAUUAAUUCGAGACUAACGAGAGAUUUGUUUUUUAACCAGGAAGUAAUUCGCACGUGAUAUCAACGCUUUUUCGCACAGUGCGUUAAUGUAUUCACAACAUCGCGAACAUCGAGGAGAAACAUCGUCGUUAGUUCCCGUCGAAGGGAGGAAAAAAAGCUUCCCGAUGUCGCUCUGAACGGAGACAGAAGUGUGCGGAUUAUUGAUUGACGGGAAAAUGCGGAUACAGCCCUGGCACUCAACCCCUCCAAUCCCCUCCAAUCUCCGCAACGCUACAUCGCCCUGGUGCAAGCAAGGAAAGGGCGCCACCCUGGAGACCGCAUAUAUGCACAAUGCGCAGCGCGCCGAGACGGCGAGCACGCUCCAAAUAGCACCGCACGCGGGGAAACGGGUUCUUUUGACGGUCGACGACGUAAUCCGGAUCAUACAGAGAAACGUUCGAGAGUGGAAUCGUAAACUCAGCACACAGAAAACAUGGAGCAAUAAGACGUAAACAGUAAUGAGCUUUCUACAAAAAGCCAUUAUCUUUAAAUUUUAAACUAGUCUCAAUCCUUUGUAUGCCUUGACGCUGCAAAUGCUUCGUUGACCAAUCAGAAGGAGGAAUUUUAUGAAUCGACCAAUGAAAGAAUGCUUCAAAGCAUUUGCAGUAUUAAGUGGAUUACACCUAUAUAGCCUUAACGGGGAGAUUUCGAGCUCGCCUCGGUGCUUCGUUCCGUCACGGUUUCAACCCCCGUACGUCUCUCUCUGCCCUCCAAGGUCACAGGCAUUGAAACAUUGAAACCGCGGGAGCGAACGUGCGGCUUCUACGAUAGCAGAAGCCUCUUAUCUCGCGAGCGUGUCGAGAGAACAAUCGGUUUCUCGGUUCUACGCUUAAACCCGUGGAAUUCGUUCCUCGACGUCAUGAAAAACACCGUUCGCUUCAGAUACGGCGAGCUUAUGGAUAUUUAUACAUUCAAAUUAUUUGAAUAUAGAAACGUAUUUGCACUUUCCGAUAAGGCUAGAUAAAGCUAUUUUCAAGAUAUACUUUGUGCAGUCAUUGC